Molecule: ribosomal RNA, 508 nt
Filed under: uncultured bacterium
Lineage: Bacteria
Description: partial 16S ribosomal RNA
Rfam family: Bacterial small subunit ribosomal RNA
Source: RNAcentral
AUUGAACGCUGGCGGCAUGCCUUACACAUGCAAGUCGAACGGCAGCGGGGGAGAAGCUUGCUUUUCCUGCCGGCGAGUGGCGAACAGGUGAGUAAUACAUCGGAACGUGCCCUGUAGUGGGGGAUAACUAGUCGAAAGAUUAGCUAAUACCGCAUACGACCUGAGGGUGAAAGUGGGGGACCGCAAGGCCUCAUGCUAUAGGAGCGGCCGAUGUCUGAUUAGCUAGUUGGUGGGGUAAAGGCCUACCAAGGCGACGAUCAGUAGCUGGUCUGAGAGGACGAUCAGCCACACUGGGACUGAGACACGGCCCAGACUCCUACGGGAGGCAGCAGUGGGGAAUUUUGGACAAUGGGCGAAAGCCUGAUCCAGCAAUGCCGCGUGUGUGAAGAAGGCCUUCAGGUUGUAAAGCACUUUUGUCCGGAAAGAAAUCGCGCUGGUUAAUACCUGGCGUGGAUGACGGUACCGGAAGAAUAAGCACCGGCUAACUACGUGCCAGCCGCCGCAGUAA